RNAcentral lists this long non-coding RNA (3760 nucleotides) under Gossypium barbadense (sea-island cotton). RNAcentral describes it as "long non-coding RNA (GBAR_LNC004887)". Lineage: Eukaryota; Viridiplantae; Streptophyta; Magnoliopsida; Malvales; Malvaceae. The record is from RNAcentral.
UAAUUUAAAAUGUAUUAAAAAAUAAGAGUUGAAUACUAAAUGAAUAUGAAAAAAAUAAUGAAUUAUACAAAUUGAAAUGAAAAAAAACUUAAUUGAAAUAAAAUUAAACUAACAGGGAUAAUUAAUAAAUAAAAUAAAUCAUUGAAACAGAACCAAGGACCAAAGCUCAAUGCGCACAAAUACGCGAGGAUUGAAAAGGUAAAUAUUCCAAAUAUCAAAAUGUAACGUUUAAGCGCGGAUCCAGUUGAAUUGUCGCACAAAUUCUGGGGAAAAUUAAAAAAAAAAGGAAAUCUGAAGUAAGUCUGAUCGCAUGCUAAUGCGAAAGGAAGGGACCAAUCAUGCAAAUUGACCAUUUACAACAAAAGGGCGCGGAUCCGACCUGCUGAUCGGAUAUAUGCGCGGAUCCCUUUCUCUAUGAAACGACACCGUUUCGCUUGCCAUUAAAAACUAAAAAAACGAUUGAAUGGCACUUUGCCAUUUUUUGCUGAAACUAAUCCUUAAUCCCCCUUUUCUCCUAUUUUUCACAUUGGCCGACCUUAACCUUUCCCCUGAACGCUGAUCCAUCUCCAUAACGACGACAAGCCUUUCGAUUGCUUAGCCUUAGGUUCCCUCUACGCCUUGACUUCGGCAAAGAAAAAGGAAACCAUGGCAUCUGGUAAGGAACCUCUUUAAUUUUUUUUACUUUCUAAGGCUUUAAAACUAUAAUGAAAAAAAUAAAGGAAAUAGAAUCCAAAAGGAAGCAUAAAAUCCAGAAAAGUUGAAUCUAAAAUCACCUUUUAAGAACUGAUUUUGGAUUACUCUCUAUUUUUCUACAAUAUGCGUAUGUAUUUCUUUUUUUAAAAGAGAUCCCUUUUACAUUCGAUUUCACUGGCUUUUAUAGCCGAAAAAAAUAAUAAUUAAAAAUACAAAAAUGUUCCCUUAGAUCUAUUUGUUGUCAAUCUGCUGUGAGUUGUUUUCUAUUAUUUUCUUCUCGCAGGUUCGAUUGUACGGAGGAGAACGCUCGUGGGGAUGACGUGGAGGAGGCUCGGAGGCUCUGCGGAACCGCUCGUGGGAGCCCGACUCCCUGGCGCUGUUCUGGCACGUUCCAGAAGCUUCCGCUGCACGUAAACUUGUUGGCUUAGGGUUUCUUGAGUGUUUUUCCAUUUUGGGCCUGGAUUUGGGUUAGGGGUUUAUUUUAGUUUGGGCUAAAUAAUUGGGCUUGUAAUAGAGACAUUGGUCCUAAUUAUUUUAGUUUUAUUUUGGUUUUGGUUCUGGUGCAAGCCCGGGCAGAUUUGGGCCUAUAUAAAAUGAAUGUUUAAUUGUUUUAUAAAUUUGGUAAUGCUUUGUAACCCUAGUCUGGCGUUGAAUAUGGGUGAGGGGUGUCACAAAAUUUCACCUUUUAUAAGUCCAAAAAUUCUUUCACAAAAUAAUUCAUCCUUUUCCGAUUUAUUGGUUUUGUAAUGUAAAGUAUAGAGUUUUGUCAACUCUCCAUCAUUUUUUCCAUUAGGCAAGAUUUUCUUACCCCAAACACUUAUUUGUUGGAAAGCAGACCUGUAACAACCCGUAUUCAGUGAAAUCAGAACAGUGGUUUCGGAACCACAAAUCCAAGUCCGGAAGAAAAAAUAUUUUAAUAUUAUUGCAUAGUCUGCAUAAUGAUAGAAAUAUCGUAUGGAAAUUUUGUUAAGAAAAUUUUAUCGAUUUCAUGUUUAAUUUGAUGAAAAGGACCAAAUUUCAUAAAGUGCAAAAGUUGGAUUCUAAUAGCUAAAGGGAUCAAAUAGCUAUGAAAUUCAAAACUAGAGGUCCUUAUAUGAAAAAUAAACCAUUUAGAAGAGUUAGUAGAUAAGUAUGUUUAGUCAUUUAUAGAAAAUAAAUAAAAUGACUAGAUUGGAAAGAGAAAAGAUAUAAGAUGAUAAAUAAUAAAAGAAUUGAAAAUAUCAUCAUUCUAUCAUCUUUCCUAAAAUUAAAGACAUGAAAACCCUAGUUAUGGUUGAAGAGUUCCAGCAAACUAUUUUGGCUUGAUUAGAUAUGAAUUCUUGUCCCGUUUUUAGUAAUUUUCAUAUUUAUAGAUUGUAAUAUCUUAAUUUUGUUAUCUCAGGGAUUAAUUUGUAAAGUUAUCAAAGUACUAAAGUUUUUCCAUGGAUGAUUAUGCAUGAACUAUGAAGUUUUGUGGUAGAAAUUGAAAGGUUGUUGAUAGAUAAACAACUUUUGUAAAAGGGAAUUUUGAUGAAAUUGUGAUUUAGGGAUUAAAUUGAAAAGAUGUAAAAUUUAUGGAAAAAAUUCUAAAUUUUGUGAGAUACAUGAAUUUCAUGGAAUAAAUAUUAAAUUGCAUAAAUUUCAUUUUUUGAGCCUAGGGACGAAAUUAGAAUUAAUUAAAAGUAUAGGGGCAAAAUGAUAAUUUUGCCUAAGAUGUGAAUUGGAUUAAAUUGAAUAUGAAUUGUACUAAAUUGAUGUUAAAUUUAUUCUUAUAGAUCAUGAUAGACCAAAUACAGAGUUAGAACGAGGAAAAGAAAAAGCAUAAGAUUAGUAGAUUACAAAUCCAUGAAACACUUGUCGAGGUAAGUUCGUGUAACUAAAUUGUAUGUUUAUAUUUUUGAAUUGAAUGUUGUGUAUGUGAAUUGUGUAAAUUUCCAUGUAUGAAAAUUAAUCACAUAUCCAACAAUGUUCGACAAGUAUAAAGUCUCGAGUGUACAAAUAAAAAUUCAAUGGAUACAGGAUUCCCUAAUUGGUUGUGGUCCUGCAUGUGUUGCAGACACACCAUAACUCAAAAGAGCGUCCCGUUAUUAGCUCUUAUGAGCAUUUCGAUAUUUGGCUUUUACGAGCUUCCCGUUACAUAGUUCAGUGAGCUUCCCAUUAAUAGCUCUUCGGAGCAUCCCGAUUAGUUGUGAUCUUGCAUAUGUUGUGGACACACCGCAGCUCUUAUGAGCGUCCCGAUAUAUUGCUCUUUGGAGCUUUUCGUUUAAAGGCUUUUCAUGAGCAUCUCGAUUAAUGACUUUCCGGAGCUUCCCGAUAUUGCUCGCUUGAACUUCCCGUUACAUGGCUCACUUGAGUUUCCUAUAAUAUGGCUCGAAAGAGCUUCCUGUUUACAUGUUUGCAUGAGCAUUCAUGUACAUGAAUUGAUGGAUUACAGUUUUGUACACAUUGUGUGUACUACCCGUGUAUCCAUCGAUAUUUUCAAUAAUUCAACGGACAAAAUUUUGACAUGAGAAAAUAUGAGUUCAAAAUGAAUUAUUACCCGUAUAUAUACCUAAAAUACAUGAAAGUGAUGAUAUUUGACAAAUUGAAAUAUGGGAUGAAAGAUACAUGUGUAUGAAAUUUGCUCGAUGACUAUGUACAUUUAUGAAUAUGAAUUGUUACAUGAAUUUCAUGACUAACAUGCUUGAUAAGGAUAUGUGCUAGGGUUUUUGGUCAAUUUGCUUAAGUAUGCCUUGUAUGUUUAUUUUAAUUGUAAUUAAAUGGUAAGUUAACUUCCCGUUAUACGAACUUACUAAGCAUUAAAUGCUUACUCUGUUUUAUUUUCUCUAUCUUAUAGUACUCUGAAGCUCGUAAAGGUUGAAAGCUGGUCAGAGCUACAUCACACUAUCUAUCGGCCCAUUUCGAUAUAUAUAUAUAUAGAUAAUUAAUUUUGGUUAUAAUGGCAUGUAUAGAUUAAUUAACCAAAUGUUGGCAUGUAAUGUUUUGGUUGUAACUAGCCAUUGGAAUGGCUUGUGAUAGGCAUGGUUUUGAUGUGUAUAUAAGAGGUUAUAUCAUGUUUGAUGUUAGUGUUUGGUAUAGUUGAUUGAUA